RNAcentral lists this microRNA (23 nucleotides) under anatid alphaherpesvirus 1. RNAcentral describes it as "dev-miR-D6-3p". Its record names the gene dev-miR-D6-3p. The record is from miRBase by way of RNAcentral. Lineage: Duplodnaviria; Heunggongvirae; Peploviricota; Herviviricetes; Herpesvirales; Orthoherpesviridae.
GUCAGAGUGUCGGUGAGUCGACG